UUAAGUUAUUAAGGGCGCACGGUGGAUGCCUUGGCACUAGAAGCCGAUGAAGGACGUUACUAACGACGAUAUGCUUUGGGGAGCUGUAAGUAAGCUUUGAUCCAGAGAUUUCCGAAUGGGGAAACCCAGCAUGAGUUAUGUCAUGUUAUCGAUAUGUGAAUACAUAGCAUAUCAGAAGGCACACCCGGAGAACUGAAACAUCUUAGUACCCGGAGGAAGAGAAAGAAAAUUCGAUUCCCUUAGUAGCGGCGAGCGAAACGGGAAGAGCCCAAACCAACAAGCUUGCUUGUUGGGGUUGUAGGACACUCUAUACGGAGUUACAAAGGACGACAUUAGACGAAUCAUCUGGAAAGAUGAAUCAAAGAAGGUAAUAAUCCUGUAGUCGAAAAUGUUGUCUCUCUUGAGUGGAUCCUGAGUACGACGGAGCACGUGAAAUUCCGUCGGAAUCUGGGAGGACCAUCUCCUAAGGCUAAAUACUCUCUAGUGACCGAUAGUGAACCAGUACCGUGAGGGAAAGGUGAAAAGCACCCCGGAAGGGGAGUGAAAUAGAACCUGAAACCGUGUGCUUACAAGUAGUCAGAGCCCGUUAAUGGGUGAUGGCGUGCCUUUUGUAGAAUGAACCGGCGAGUUACGAUUUGAUGCAAGGUUAAGCAGUAAAUGUGGAGCCGUAGCGAAAGCGAGUCUGAAUAGGGCGUUUAGUAUUUGGUCGUAGACCCGAAACCAGGUGAUCUACCCUUGGUCAGGUUGAAGUUCAGGUAACACUGAAUGGAGGACCGAACCGACUUACGUUGAAAAGUGAGCGGAUGAACUGAGGGUAGCGGAGAAAUUCCAAUCGAACCUGGAGAUAGCUGGUUCUCUCCGAAAUAGCUUUAGGGCUAGCCUCAAGUGAUGAUUAUUGGAGGUAGAGCACUGUUUGGACGAGGGGCCCCUCUCGGGUUACCGAAUUCAGACAAACUCCGAAUGCCAAUUAAUUUAACUUGGGAGUCAGAACAUGGGUGAUAAGGUCCGUGUUCGAAAGGGAAACAGCCCAGACCACCAGCUAAGGUCCCAAAAUAUAUGUUAAGUGGAAAAGGAUGUGGCGUUGCCCAGACAACUAGGAUGUUGGCUUAGAAGCAGCCAUCAUUUAAAGAGUGCGUAAUAGCUCACUAGUCGAGUGACACUGCGCCGAAAAUGUACCGGGGCUAAACAUAUUACCGAAGCUGUGGAUUGUCCUUUGGACAAUGGUAGGAGAGCGUUCUAAGGGCGUUGAAGCAUGAUCGUAAGGACAUGUGGAGCGCUUAGAAGUGAGAAUGCCGGUGUGAGUAGCGAAAGACGGGUGAGAAUCCCGUCCACCGAUUGACUAAGGUUUCCAGAGGAAGGCUCGUCCGCUCUGGGUUAGUCGGGUCCUAAGCUGAGGCCGACAGGCGUAGGCGAUGGAUAACAGGUUGAUAUUCCUGUACCACCUAUAAUCGUUUUAAUCGAUGGGGGGACGCAGUAGGAUAGGCGAAGCGUGCGAUUGGAUUG
This 1503-nucleotide ribosomal RNA is filed under the name Staphylococcus aureus. RNAcentral describes it as "bacterial LSU rRNA". It matches the Rfam family "Bacterial large subunit ribosomal RNA", at positions 3 to 1505 of the family's 2925-position model. The record is from RNAcentral. Lineage: Bacteria; Bacillati; Bacillota; Bacilli; Caryophanales; Staphylococcaceae.